AUGUCAUUCUAAUUUGGUAUUCCUUCUCUUGGAAAGCAAAAAGGGUCAGCCUUACAGCCCGGUUCUCCCUUGAGGCCAGAACCAAUUUCUCCCUUGGACAGAGUUGGAAGAGAAAACUGAGGCUCUGAGUGGCACAUCUUGAGCUCUGGGAGGUAGUGGCAGUAAAGGAUCUGCUCUAAAAAACGAAUCCACAUUCAUCAGAGAUCCCAGCCUCUUGGAGAUAGGACUGACAAGAAGCCUUAUCAAGUUAAUGUUACUGAAGGAAUAGAGAUUGGCUCUCAAAUCUUACCCACUGCAGAUACUAAGUGAUAGUUCAUGGAGUUACCCCUGCAAAAGUUGAGGAGUGAUUGCAGAUAUGAUUUAACUCAAUGCCCUUCUUGGACCUGGGCUUUUGGAGGAAACAUCCAGUCUUCUUAUGUUUCUAUCACUAGAAAUCACAGUCUCCUUUGGAGGUGAGAGGAUUCCAAAUUCCAGAAAUAUCUAUCCUUCAUACCUACGAGAUGGUGCAAAGCUGGGAGGCAGAGCGACUACGAUGGAUGAAAGUAUUAAACAUCCUAACAGCAGAACAGAACAACGGCUGGAUAGAAUAAAAGGAAAUGUAAGAUAUAAAUACACGUAAAGUCUUACAAUUGGUUAAAAACCCAACAUCACAAAUAAGAGAUGGGGGAGGCAAGGCUGGACAGUGGUUUGUAGGAAAGGAAUCUGGGAGUUUUAAUAGACUGUCAAAGCUUAAUUCGAG
This 739-nucleotide long non-coding RNA is filed under the name Monodelphis domestica (gray short-tailed opossum). RNAcentral describes it as "lncRNA (ENSMODG00000033604.2)". The record is from RNAcentral. Lineage: Eukaryota; Metazoa; Chordata; Mammalia; Didelphimorphia; Didelphidae.